CCUACGGGUGGCAGCAGUGAGGAAUAUUGGUCAAUGGGCGCGAGCCUGAACCAGCCAAGUCGCGUGAGGGAAGACGGCCCUACGGGUUGUAAACCUCUUUUGCCGGGGAGCAACGGGCGCCACGUGUGGCGCCACUGAGAGUACCCGGAGAAAAAGCAUCGGCUAACUCCGUGCCAGCAGCCGCGGUAAUCCGGAGGAUUCAAGCGUUAUCCGGAUUUAUUGGGUUUAAGGGGUGCGUAGGCGGUCGGUUAAGUUAGUGGUGAAAUCCCGAGGCUCAACUUCGAAAUUGCAUCUGAUACUGGUCGGCUAGAGAGUAGUUGAGGUAGGCGGAAUGUAUGGUGUAGCGGUGAAAUGCUUAGAGAUCAUGCAGAACACCGAUUGCGAAGGCAGCUUACCAAGCUACUACUGACGUUGAGGCACGAAAGCGUGGGGAGCAAACAGGAUUAGAUACCCGUGUAGUC
RNAcentral lists this ribosomal RNA (461 nucleotides) under uncultured bacterium. Its description in RNAcentral is "partial 16S ribosomal RNA". It matches the Rfam family "Bacterial small subunit ribosomal RNA", at positions 338 to 795 of the family's 1533-position model. The record is from RNAcentral.